UACAGAGGGUGCAAGCGUUGUUCGGAAUUAUUGGGCGUAAAGCGCGCGUAGGCGGAGUGAUAAGUCUGAUGUGAAAUCCCGGUGCUUAACGCCGGACGUGCAUCGGAAACUGUCAUUCUAGAAUCACGGAGAGGAAGGUAGAAUUCCAGGUGUAGAGGUGAAAUUCGUAGAUAUCUGGAGGAAUACCAGUGGCGAAGGCGGCCUUCUGGCUAGUGAUUGACGCUGAGGUGCGAAAGCGUGGGUAGCGAACAGG
Molecule: ribosomal RNA, 253 nt
Filed under: uncultured bacterium
Lineage: Bacteria
Description: partial 16S ribosomal RNA
Rfam family: Bacterial small subunit ribosomal RNA
Source: RNAcentral